AUGAUCAUGUCCGACCCGGCCAUGCUGCCGCCGGGCUUCCGGUUCCACCCGACGGACGAGGAGCUCAUCCUCCACUACCUCCGCAACCGCGCCGCCGAAUCGCCCUGCCCCGUCUCCAUCAUCGCCGACGUUGAUAUCUACAAGUUCGACCCAUGGGCCCUGCCAUCCAAGGCUAGCUACGGGGACAGGGAGUGGUACUUCUUCACGCCGAGGGACCGUAAGUACCCCAACGGUGUCCGGCCGAACCGCGCCGCGGGCUCUGGCUACUGGAAAGCCACCGGCACCGACAAGCCCAUCCGCUGCAGCGCCACCGGCGAGAGCGUCGGCGUCAAGAAGGCCCUCGUCUUCUACAAGGGCCGCCCGCCCAAGGGCAUCAAGACCAACUGGAUCAUGCACGAAUACCGCCUGGCCGCCGCCGACGCGCACGCCGCCAACACCUACCGCCCCAUGAAGUUCCGCAACGCCUCCAUGAGGCUGGAUGACUGGGUGCUGUGCCGGAUCUACAAGAAGACCAGCCAAGCAUCGCCGAUGGCGGUGCCACCGCUGUCCGACCACGAGCUUGACGAGCCUUCUGGCGCUGCCGGCUACCCCAUGUCGAGCGCCGGCAUGAUCAUGCAAGGCGGCGCCGGCGGCUAUCCGCUGCAGGCCGCGGCCGGCGGCACACAGAGGAUGCCCAAGAUCCCGUCCAUAUCGGAGUUGCUCAACGAGUAUUCGCUGGCGCAGCUCUUCGAGGACAGCGGACACGCGCUGAUGGCGCGGCACGAUCAGCACGCCGCCCUUCUCGGUCACCCCAUCAUGAGCCAAUUCCAUGUGAACGGCAUGCCGCAGCUGGGGCAGAUGGAUUCGUCAGCCUCAACGUCGGUGGGAGGCGAGGGUGCCGCCGGGAAGCGCAAGAGGCCGUCGGAGGACGGUGACCGUAACGGGUCGACGAGCCAGCCAGCGGCGGCGGUGACGGGCAAGAAGCCCAACACUUCUUGCUUGGGUGCAACAACGUUCCAAACAGGCAACAACACCUUGCAGGGGUCGUCACUAGGCCAGGGCCAUCAGACGCUGCUCCGUUUCUAA
RNAcentral lists this ribosomal RNA (1065 nucleotides) under Triticum aestivum (bread wheat). RNAcentral describes it as "partial small subunit ribosomal RNA". Lineage: Eukaryota; Viridiplantae; Streptophyta; Magnoliopsida; Poales; Poaceae. The record is from RNAcentral.